Molecule: ribosomal RNA, 479 nt
Filed under: uncultured bacterium
Lineage: Bacteria
Description: partial 16S ribosomal RNA
Rfam family: Bacterial small subunit ribosomal RNA
Source: RNAcentral
GGAUGAACGCUGGCGGCGUGCUUAACACAUGCAAGUCGAACGAGAAAUGGAGACGGAAACCUUCGGGCGGAAGGCUUCAUUUCGAGUGGCGGACGGGUGAGUAACGCGUGGGUAACCUGCCUCAUACAGGGGGAUAACAGUUGGAAACGACUGUUAAUACCGCAUAAGACCACAGCACCGCAUGGUGCGGGGGUAAAAACUCCGGUGGUAUGAGAUGGACCCGCGUUCGAUUAGCCAGUUGGCGGGGUAACGGCCCACCAAAGCGACGAUCGAUAGCCGAUCUGAGAGGAUGACCGGCCACAUUGGGACUGAGACACGGCCCAAACUCCUACGGGAGGCAGCAGUGGGGAAUAUUGCACAAUGGGGGAAACCCUGAUGCAGCGACGCCGCGUGAGUGAAGAAGUACUUCGGUAUGUAAAGCUCUAUCAGCAGGGAAGAAAAUGACGGUACCUGAGGAAGAAGCCCCGGCUAACUACGUG